This 69-nucleotide transfer RNA is filed under the name Marmota monax (woodchuck). RNAcentral describes it as "tRNA.Met". It matches the Rfam family "tRNA", at positions 5 to 66 of the family's 71-position model. From Rfam's summary of the family: Transfer RNA (tRNA) molecules are approximately 80 nucleotides in length. Their secondary structure includes four short double-helical elements and three loops (D, anti-codon, and T loops). The record is from RNAcentral. Lineage: Eukaryota; Metazoa; Chordata; Mammalia; Rodentia; Sciuridae.
GGUGUAUAGCUUAGUGGUAGAGUGCUUGCUUCAUAUGCAUGCGACCCUGGGUUCCAUCCCCACUACCUA